Molecule: ribosomal RNA, 440 nt
Filed under: uncultured bacterium
Lineage: Bacteria
Description: partial 16S ribosomal RNA
Rfam family: Bacterial small subunit ribosomal RNA
Source: RNAcentral
CCUACGUGGGGCUGCAGUGGGGAAUAUUGCACAAUGGCGGAAACCCUGAUGCAGCGACGCCGCGUGAGUGAAGAAGUAAUUCGUUACGUAAAGCUCUAUCAGCAGGGAAGAAAAUGACGGUACCUGAUUAAGAAGCCCCGGCUAACUACGUGCCAGCAGCCGCGGGAAUACGUAGGGGGCAAGCGUUAUCCGGAUUUACUGGGUGGAAAGGGAGCGGAGACGGCGCGCCAAGUCUGGAGUGAAAUGCCGCAGCUUAACUGCGGAACUGCUUUGGAAACUGGCGAACUAGAGUGCGGGAGGGGUAAGCGGAAUUCCUAGUGUAGCGGUGAAAUGCGUAGAUAUUAGGAGGAACACCAGUGGCGAAGGCGGCUUACUGGACCGUAACUGACGUUGAGGCUCGAAAGCGUGGGGAGCAAACAGGAUUAGAUACCCGUGUAGUC